Molecule: long non-coding RNA, 3256 nt
Organism: Cyprinus carpio carpio
Lineage: Eukaryota; Metazoa; Chordata; Actinopteri; Cypriniformes; Cyprinidae
Source: Ensembl
CUCCAGCCUCUCCAAGCCUAAAGAGGAAGACACCUGUGCCCCUUCCAGCAGAACUGACGUUCCUAGUGAAGGAGACAACAGCAGAAAAGCUUAAGGCAAUGCCAGAACUCUGCACAAGUGCUGCUGUCACCUCUGCACGCAAAGUGCUUGCCUUUGAGGAGAGUAGUGAAAAUGGUAAGAAUAAACAGCAUGUAGACAGCCCCUCUAUUUUGUGAACUCCUGACACUAAGAUGUUGUCUUAACUCUGCUUUAAUCAUUUCAUUUAUUUACAUUACUUCCAUAUUAACUAUGCAAUCUAUCAUAAUAAUCAGGGCAUUACAUUCUUUUUGCCUAUCCAUUUUUCUUUUUAAAUCCUAGUUCCCUCAGCUCAGCCACCUGUUCCUGUUCUCCUGCCUGUGCAUGACCAUGACAUGAGCAGCUGGAGCUGUUCUCAACACCAGAAGCUGUGGAUGAGGAUGGAGCUUCAGGAUCUCGGGCUGUGGCCUGGGUCUCGUUCAGUGCGUAACCCAGGGAACACAAUUUCACUGUGGCGUCUUCCUCCACAACCUGAGCUUGUCGAUAUGGCGUCCGAACUCCCAUCCCCUAACUUCUUCCAGCUACACCCAUUUUUCAUCUGGAAACCGGAGAGUCACAUCAUGGUCAGGUUGAGAAACACUUACAUCCUGCCUUGUCUGCAUGGAUGUCCUCAUCCACAGGUGGUCUCUGCAGGAGUGGGCAGGCCUAGGGUGAUUGUUGGCACCAGUGGUCAGUAUUACAUCUUGUCCUCACGACUCUGCUGCAAGGCCUGUCAGAAGAACUGGUUUGCUGACAAUCCACGAUGGCUUGAGAAGCUGCCCAAGCGGUUUACCAACAUUCUGCCUGCAUUCCUGACCUACAAGAAGGCCAUCUGCAAAUCUGUGAUGGAUGAGCUGAGGCGCACUGGCAAGUCACCAACCGAUAUGGCAAACCAGGUGAAUGAGCUCAUGCACCUCAAGUAUGAGCGAGCUCACCUGGCAUACCUGCAUGCCAUAGAAAGCGUCAGGGAUGCUGAGGCUGGCAUAUAUGGACAGAGGACCAUUGGGCAGUUCCUGAGGAAGGAAAACACUCCACGUGCUUUCGGGUCAUAUGAUGAUCAAGAUGGCUGGUAUGGAGUCUCUGUGUCCAGCUUCUACCUGACUGACUGCCUACUAGAUGAGUACAAACGUCAAGAGCCAGCCAUGUCCAAACUCCUUCAGGGCACUUUUGGGCGGGUCUUCAGGUCUGACCACACCAGGAAAGUUGCAAGAAAAGUAACGCUGGCAUCUGGGGUCAUGUCCAGUUAUGCAAUCAUGAAUGAGAACUGGCUGAUUGUUUCCUGGGUGAUGGUUCAGUCUGAGACCGAGAGGUCCUUGGAGCCAAUGUACCAGGGACUGGCCAAGAGGUACGGCGAUGCUGGAGUGGAAAAGGCAGGCUUCCACUGGAUGGACAGGGAUUGCUGUGCUCCAUUUAAGAUCCCAGACUGCAUCCCUGGUGAACAUCUAAACUGGGAUGCCUGGAAGACUACCCCUUCCAUUGUUGCUGGGGCCACCUCUGGACCACUGGAGAACACCUGUGCCUCACGGUCACAUUUCAAUAAUAACAUUGUGGUGAAGCUGGACUUGUUCCACUGCCUGAGGCACGGGAAUGCACCUCUGAGCAUCACCCUCUGUUUAGUACUUUCUGCCAGCUCCUCUCCGCAGCCUUCUCUGUGGUGGAUCAGGAGGACCUAGGGAGGCUCCAGGAUGCCUAUCGGUUCUGUGGUAUCCAUCCAGCCAAUCCCACCAAACAGCACAUACGGGAGCACUGCAGGACCAAAGUACCACAACCCACAGAGCUGCUAGACAGAGUGGAGAAAGUCCUAAAGCAUUUUCACCUGGCCAUGGACCCCAACAAUAUCCCACUAUUAAAGUCAUCCAUGCUGAAGACGUGGCGCAUACAGAGAGUGCACAUUCUCCGUGGUUGCCUCAGUGACCCUGAACUCUCAGAGGGCAUAAUGUACCGGUAUGGUGGAACUCUUCAGCUAAAUCACAUACCCGGUGAAGGCGCCAAAGUCCCCAUCUGGAUCCCUGUCAGAGGUACAUCACAGCAGGAAGGGUACCACUUUCACCAGGCCCAGUGGAUCACAGGGACUCAUGUCUCCACUGAAUUGUUCCAGGCCCAGGGCAUGACAGGGGUGGCACAGUGGAACCACCAACAGCUGCUGGACCUUAAGCAGCCAGGUGUCAUCCUUCCUGCUGUGUUUGAUCCAGCUCUAAUGGUUGAGUUAAAUUCUACCUCCAAGAGAGUGACUGGGGAGGAGAAGUAUCCUACACUUCAUCUCUCUGACAGAGACACCGGAGAGAGGUUUGGCCUAGAGUACACAGAGCCAGGCUGCCGUCCAGUCCCUCUGGAUUGGGACAAACACCGAACCCAAAAGAGAGGUGAACCAGCUGCUCUUGUGCCUCUGCCUCCUGUGCAGACACCCACUCCUGCCCAAGCCCAACCCCAAACUCCGGACACAGCACCUUCCUCCAGCCAGACACAGCUCUCCAACACAGCAUCCCCUGGACCAGCAUCAUCCAUUGGCCAUUUGCUCUCUGCUGGUGAACCUCCUGCAGUGAUAGGUAAAUUAACAAUCUUUUUAGACAUAAAUUUUAAUGUAAUAACAUGAUCAACUGAGGAAUUAUUAUUGCUUUGUGUUCCAGAAAUAUCACAUGCUAAACCUGCUGCAAUCCAUAUGGUACAGAUGUUGUCACAAGGAAGCAUGGGACCUCCAGUUAAAAGGGGUAAGUUAAUACCACUUUCUAAGACCAUCAUUUUAAAUAUCAGUGUAAAUGACUUUUUGUACUCAUCAACAUCAUCUCAGUAAAUGAGGAAAAUAACAAAUAACUUUUUUCUUUGUUCUAGAAAUCUCAAAUACUCCACCCCUGCCCUUGCAAUCCUUACCAAGGAGUGCCCGCACUGGACCAAUCAAGACUGGUGGAUGAGUGUUCAUCUUGGACCACAAACGCUGGACAUCACCAAUAAAGGAGGCUAUCGACAGCCUCCUAGACAAUUAUCAUGGACAGAAAGACAUGUUGAAGCUUGUGGAUCAAGACUAUGCAGCUAUGGUCCAUCGGUCUGCCACAGCUCCAAACAGUCUGCUUCACCCCACAACCAAAUACCAUAUAGCACAGUACAUGAAACACCUGGCUAAACAGGUGAACACCAGUCCAGAAAAACUUUUGGAACAUUUGACAAACAGAAAUGGUCUCAUGAGUCUCUGAACAUAGGUAGCCAC